AGUGAACGCUGGCGGCAGGCCUAACACAUGCAAGUCGAGCGGCAGCGGGUCCUUCGGGAUGCCGGCGAGCGGCGGACGGGUGAGGAAUGCAUCGGAAUCUACCCUGUUGUGGGGGAUAACGUAGGGAAACUUACGCUAAUACCGCAUACGACCUACGGGUGAAAGUGGGGGACCUUCGGGCCUCACGCGAUUGGAUGAGCCGAUGCCGGAUUAGCUAGUUGGUAGGGUAAAGGCCUACCAAGGCGACGAUCCGUAGCUGGUCUGAGAGGAUGAUCAGCCACACUGGAACUGAGACACGGUCCAGACUCCUACGGGAGGCAGCAGUGGGGAAUAUUGGACAAUGGGCGCAAGCCUGAUCCAGCCAUGCCGCGUGUGUGAAGAAGGCC
Molecule: ribosomal RNA, 386 nt
Filed under: uncultured bacterium
Lineage: Bacteria
Description: bacterial SSU rRNA
Rfam family: Bacterial small subunit ribosomal RNA
Source: RNAcentral